UGUGUGUGUGUGUGUGUGUGUGUACCUCAAGUUAAGCCUAAAAACUUAGGGCACAUGGAGACAGUCUAAGAGGCACCGUCUGAGCAAUUCAUUCCUGCUCCCUACAGAUUUCCGGCAUGGAUUGAAGUUCUUCGUCACCAUGACUGAUUUCCACCACAUUGAUCUUAAAGCCUGGCUUCAUACCACGUGUGUCUCUCCACCCCCCCAUGUUAGUGCAGCCAGAUGUUUUCUCUGCAUCUUAGUACAGCCAUAGCAUGCAGAGAUGCAUUAAUGUGUUAGAUUUUGGGAGGACGGCAUGUGUGUGAACAUCAGUGUGUUGUGCUUAUCUUCUGUGCUGUGCAUCAGCCAGGCUUCAGUUGGCACAUGUUGGUUUUGGCAGGGUUCCUGUGUUUAAAGUUGAAAUGUCAACAUGGAGGUCACUUCACCCAAAAGAAGCACACAAAGCAAUGUGAGCUCAGCACUUCCGUGG
Long non-coding RNA from Ictalurus punctatus (channel catfish), 469 nucleotides. Lineage: Eukaryota; Metazoa; Chordata; Actinopteri; Siluriformes; Ictaluridae. The record is from Ensembl.